RNAcentral lists this ribosomal RNA (440 nucleotides) under uncultured bacterium. Its description in RNAcentral is "partial 16S ribosomal RNA". It matches the Rfam family "Bacterial small subunit ribosomal RNA", at positions 338 to 795 of the family's 1533-position model. The record is from RNAcentral.
CCUACGGGAGGCAGCAGUGGGGAAUAUUGCACAAUGGGGGAAACCCUGAUGCAGCGACGCCGCGUGAGUGAAGAAGUAUUUCGGUAUGUAAAGCUCUAUCAGCAGGGAAGAACAUGACGGUACCUGAUUAAUAAGCCCCGGCUAACUACGUGCCAGCAGCCGCGGUCAUACGUAGGGGGCAAGCGUUAGCCGGAUUUACUGGGGGAAAAGGGAGCGUAGACGGCAGCACAAGUCUGGAGUGAAAUGCCUGGGCUUAACCCCGGAACUGCUUUGGAAACUGGGCAGCUAGAGUGCAGGAGAGGUAAGUGGAAUUCCUAGUGUAGCGGUGAAAUGCGUAGAUAUUAGGAGGAACACCAGUGGCGAAGGCGGCUUACUGGACUGUAACUGACGUUGAGGCUCGAAAGCGUGGGGAGCAAACAGGAUUAGAUACCCCUGUAGUC